This 253-nucleotide ribosomal RNA is filed under the name uncultured bacterium. RNAcentral describes it as "partial 16S ribosomal RNA". It matches the Rfam family "Bacterial small subunit ribosomal RNA", at positions 524 to 776 of the family's 1533-position model. The record is from RNAcentral.
UACGUAGGGACCAAGCGUUGUUCGGAUUUACUGGGCGUAAAGGGCGCGUAGGCGGCAAUUCAAGUCAGCUGUGAAAUCUCCGGGCUUAACUCGGAACGGUCAGCUGAUACUGCUUUGCUAGAGUGCGGAAGGGGCAAUCGGAAUUCUCGGUGUAGCGGUGAAAUGCGCAGAUAUCAGGAGGAACACCGAUGGCGAAGGCAGGUCUCUGGGCCAUAACUGACGCUGAGAAGCGAAAGCAUGGGGAGCGAACAGG